This 2013-nucleotide long non-coding RNA is filed under the name Lathyrus oleraceus (garden pea). RNAcentral describes it as "Pisum sativum (pea) long non-coding RNA (PSAT_LNC000394)". The record is from RNAcentral. Lineage: Eukaryota; Viridiplantae; Streptophyta; Magnoliopsida; Fabales; Fabaceae.
UAACUGACUAGCAAUCUGGAAGGAUAUCAAAUGCAUAGGCAACAAUAAUUAUUAGUUUUUGUUGCAUCAGGUGAAAAUGACUGAAAGCAUUAAUGUAUAUAUACUGAAUCUUACUUCAUACUAAUAUAAAGAAGAUCUAUAGUGUUGUUAGAAUGAUGUACCCCAGGAAACUUUACAUAUCUACCCAAAAGUAGCAAAAGACCAUACUUAUGCUUAAAGCUUGCAAUUAAUUCCCUGUUUAAUGUUUUUAUGUUAAAUGGAGACUAAUAUUAGAAAAUAUUUUACUCAAUUGCGUUUCAGAAUUGAGUUGUUUUGCUUGUUGAAAUUUCUUAACAGGUUAUAACCAAAAUGCUUCAGAAACUGCAUUGGGCUGAAAAGUUCUUUUAAGUGCAAAAUAUACUAAUCCAAUCAUGUAAACAUGAAUUCAGAAUAUUGUUUGAAUACAAUUAGCAUGUUAACUGUACCACCACCAAACAUAGUAUUUGAUACUGAGAGAUAUGAAGCAUAUAGUACAUGUGUGACACAAAUACCAUGUACACGAAUGUCAAGACAUUCCCGGUUCACCAAAAACUCCAGUAUGAUCUAACAUAUCCAAGGAGAUAUCUAUCAUGAAAAAUCAAAACAUUCCUAGUUAAAGUGUCAUACUGUUAAUCAUGAAAUGGCGUUGUCGAAGUGCUCUUUUCUUGGAGGUUAUAUAUGUAUACGAAUAAGAAUUAUAGUUGGGCCAUAGAUACUCAGCUAAAAAUGUAGUAGAUAUAAUCAAUGUGAUACUCAAACAUGAUAUAAGCUUUUUUAGCAUACAUGCAAAUGGUUACCUUCUUCCCAAUCAUUCGACCACCAGCUGAAUGUGCAAAAUAGAUGUUGUAAAAGUGGCAAAUGAAGGCCUGGGGGUCGUUCUGAGACAAAUCUGUAAGAUAUACCGCAUAGGUAAGACCAGGAGAUGAAGGUUCCGGAAUGGUAUAACCUUGCUCCUUGAACCACUCCAAAUCCUUGUCCAAACUUGCAGACCUUUCCAAUCCGGUAUUUUUGAAUUCAGCAUCUGCACACCAAAUUAGCUGGGUAACUUAGUAAUGCCAACUCAAAAGCUCUCGCAGAUAUGUUGAACUAGUAACAAGUACACGUGACAACAAAAAAUAAAAACACUCUGGAAAAUAUAUCAAUCUGAACUAAUAACAAGAUCUAACAGUUUUGUAAUUGUUUUCUAUUAAUCCAAACCCAAACAAAGAAGAAACAUUCUCGAAGACAGUUUUGUAAUUGUUUUCUAUUAAUCCAAACCCAAACAAAGAAGAAACAUUCUCGAAGACCAUAAGAUAAACAAGAUUUAGGAAUCCUUUACAAGUUUAAUAAAAGCACAAGUCAUACAGAGGACAAGCCCCCUCUAAAGUGAUAAACAAUGUUGUGAGCAACAUCAUGGUUUUUGAUGUCUUCACAACAAUUAUUAGGAAGAGAUUCUCUACCUAUCAAUUCUCUACCUUUUUGAUAACUUUCUCUCUGUACGUGGUUUGAGCCUAACUCAUCUCUAUAAAACCAACUUGUAGAGUAAGAAUUGCCCCCCCCCUUAUAAAAACAUGUUCAGAUCAUAUAUUAUCCGACACGAGACUCUUAACACUCUCUAUCUCUCUUUUAAGAAACAAUUUUUCUAAUCUAAAUCUAAAUAAUCUGAUUUUAAUCACCAAUCCUUCUAGAUACACUAAGGUCACCAAAUAUCAAAGGUUCAAUCGUAGUUAAAUAGUCUCUUAAAAUAUUUGUGAGUUGUUAAGUGAUAACACAUAAUAUUUAAACUAGUAUAAUAAAAAAGAGAAAUAAAGUUACAGUAAGGAUAAGCAGCAUCUUGAACAAUCUUCUCGAGAGUAUCAUAAACAAUCUUGCUAUCAACAAGGAACCUCAAGUAACCAUCAACAGUAGGUUCCCACUUCGUCACGGCUCUCUCUUCCGGCUUUUUAACUUCUUUCUCACCUUCCUUAGCCUGGUCUUUGGUAUGUAACCUCAUAGCCACAAACCUCAUCUCCUCCA